GGGGCCGUAGUUCAGUUGGGAGAACGCUACACUGGCAGUGUAGAGGUCAGGGGUUCAAGUCCCCUCGGCUCCA
Molecule: transfer RNA, 73 nt
Filed under: Candidatus Omnitrophota bacterium
Lineage: Bacteria; Pseudomonadati; Candidatus Omnitrophota
Description: tRNA-Ala
Rfam family: tRNA
About the family: Transfer RNA (tRNA) molecules are approximately 80 nucleotides in length. Their secondary structure includes four short double-helical elements and three loops (D, anti-codon, and T loops). Further hydrogen bonds mediate the characteristic L-shaped molecular structure. tRNAs have two regions of fundamental functional importance: the anti-codon, which is responsible for specific mRNA codon recognition, and the 3' end, to which the tRNAs corresponding amino acid is attached (by aminoacyl-tRNA synthetases). tRNAs cope with the degeneracy of the genetic code in two manners: having more than one tRNA (with a specific anti-codon) for a particular amino acid; and 'wobble' base-pairing, i.e. permitting non-standard base-pairing at the 3rd anti-codon position.
Source: RNAcentral